GGCGAACGCUGGCGGCGUGCUUAACACAUGCAAGUCGAACGGAAAGGCCCUGCUUUUGUGGGGUGCUCGAGUGGCGAACGGGUGAGUAACAUGUGAGUAACCUGCCCUUGACUUUGGGAUAACUUCAGGAAACUGGGGCUAAUACCGGAUAGGAGCUCCUGCUGCAUGGUGGGGGUUGGAAAGUUUCGGCGGUUGGGGAUGGACUCGCGGCUUAUCAGCUUGUUGGUGGGGUAGUGGCUUACCAAGGCUUUGACGGGUAGCCGGCCUGAGAGGGUGACCGGCCACAUUGGGACUGAGAUACGGCCCAGACUCCUACGGGAGGCAGCAGUGGGGAAUAUUGCACAAUGGGCGGAAGCCUGAUGCAGCAACGCCGCGUGCGGGAUGACGGCCUUCGGGUUGUAAACCGCUUUCGCCUGUGACGAAGCGUGAGUGACGGUAAUGGGUAAAGAAGCACCGGCUAACUACGUG
RNAcentral lists this ribosomal RNA (468 nucleotides) under uncultured bacterium. RNAcentral's name for it is "partial 16S ribosomal RNA". It matches the Rfam family "Bacterial small subunit ribosomal RNA", at positions 28 to 507 of the family's 1533-position model. The record is from RNAcentral.